Molecule: small nuclear RNA, 23 nt
Filed under: Arabidopsis thaliana (thale cress)
Lineage: Eukaryota; Viridiplantae; Streptophyta; Magnoliopsida; Brassicales; Brassicaceae
Description: snRNA_14320
Source: RNAcentral
ACGCUAAACAGUUUUGAAACACA